Harmonia axyridis is the source of this 895-nucleotide long non-coding RNA. RefSeq lists it as uncharacterized. NCBI's taxonomy places the organism in Eukaryota, Metazoa, Arthropoda, Insecta, Coleoptera, Coccinellidae. The record is from RefSeq and is a predicted model, not a curated record. The transcript is spliced from 3 exons.
AGAGUAACACAUGAAGAAGAUGGUAGUCCAUCAUGAGGCAAAGUCACGUCGUUUUAUGAAAUAAAUAACACUGGGUAAUUGAAAAAAACUGAAACAGUUUAAUUUAAACGCUGAUGAAAGUGUUAUAGUAGAAAAUUUAUGCAUUUUUUUGGUGUAUCGUUGGUGAAAAUUCUCAAGGAGUAUUCCUCGAUUUCUAUCAAGGACACAGAAAAAAAGAGUGAAAUCAGUUUCAUUGUCAUGGAGCCGAAAAACAAAAAACAGCUAUAUGUAUCGUGAACUCCAAAUAAUAUCUAGAUACCUACUAUUAUGAGAGUUUGUGAAAUAAAUUUCAUCGAAAUAGUUUUAAUCAUACGAAAAUGGGAACCUACAGUUCUGAAAGAUCGAUUCAUGAUAUUAUUUAGAUUAAUAAACCAAGAAAUUUUUUGGAAAAACCGAUCUCGAAUUCUAAAAUAUAAUUCCAACUUAUCGAAAAGAGACGUAUAUAUCCCGAUAUACUUCCAGCAACAGAGAACGAGAGUAAGCGAUAAUAUAUAAUAAACACACAAUCGGCAAGAAAACGAUACACAAGCGUGGAAGAAAAGGACAAGAUAUUUACAACAACAAGACGAAGGUGCAAACGAUUAAUCACAAUGCUAAAGAAGAGGAAAGAACAUGCAUUAAGAUGGAUCCAAUGGGUUACAACUCUUACUACCACCUCAAGAGAGAUGAUCAACUUCUACAAAAUGGCUAUAAUGGCUACAAUAACAAGGAGUCGUGUAGAAGCUGGCAAUUCGCUAUUAUUUCAAGAAAAAUGAAAGUGAUAUUAUCCUGUAAGCUGUGUGUAAUAUUUUUAUUUCUUUGUUUUUAAUAACCUUUCAAGGAUAGACAUUGUGAGACCAAAAUAGCCAUAUAUAUA